UACGGGAUAAUAUAUUUGAGAGGCAUCUCUUGAAUAUCAAAGGUGAGCCAGUACAGGAUGGACCCGCGUCUGAUUAGCUAGUUGGUAAGGUAACGGCUUACCAAGGCGACGAUCAGUAGCCGACCUGCGAGGGUGAUCGGCCACAUUGGAACUGAGACACGGUCCAAACUCCUACGGGAGGCAGCAGUGGGGAAUAUUGCACAAUGGGCGAAAGCCUGAUGCAGCAACGCCGCGUGAGUGAUGAAGGCCUUCGGGUCG
This 258-nucleotide ribosomal RNA is filed under the name Clostridioides difficile. RNAcentral describes it as "partial 16S ribosomal RNA". It matches the Rfam family "Bacterial small subunit ribosomal RNA", at positions 167 to 425 of the family's 1533-position model. The record is from RNAcentral. Lineage: Bacteria; Bacillati; Bacillota; Clostridia; Peptostreptococcales; Peptostreptococcaceae.